UAGAAGUACUUAUACAAAUGAAAUAUUUAUAAAAGUUUUUUCUUUUCCUGAUGUGUGUACAUUAUUUUGGCUGACUCUGAACUUAAUGAGAACAAAACUGUCAUUUAAUUGUUGCUCUGAAAGCUUCUUUAGUGAAAACCAGCUGGUGUUCUGCUUUGAAACAAACUGCUGUUGAGGUCUGUGUUUUUAGGUUUAACCCCACAGUUUCUGAAUGAACUGAUAGUUUGUUUUUUUUCCUGAUCAAUGUGGAUGUUAUAAUUGAUGGUAACAUUUACUGAUCAUAUAAUCAGCAUGACAAUAUAACAGUAUAACAUUCUGACCACCUGACUAAUACUGUGUUGGUCCCUUUAUGCUGCUAAAACUCCUCUGACCCAGUGGUUCAUCAGAACCUCUGGAGAUGUCCUGUGGAUUCUGUGGAUCCUGUGGGUUGCAGGGUGGGUCCUACCUAGACCAGGCUGAUCCUGGACCAUCCCACAGAUGCUCAAUCAGAUCUGGAUGUGGGGAGUGUGGAACCCAGAUGUUCAGAGGGAGAUGAUGCCACAUCUGGUCCAGCCGAUGGAAGGUCUUGAAGUUCUCUGACUGGCCUCGACUGAAGAUGGUCGUCUCACUGGAUUUAAGGUUCAGAUGCUCAGUAACAAACUCCACCAAUGUGGCAACAGGGAAGCUUUAGGUUAAUUAAAUGUUGCUAUGAAGGUUUCGCUGUUUUUCUUUGUGAAUGCAAUGUGCUCCAACUGAAACUUGAAUUAGAACUUCGAAGUAAAUCCUUCCAUCUGAAAGGAUUUAGUUGCAUUAAUAACCUCAUAACAUUCUAAUUUUUAUUCCAGUGUUGGUUGGAAAUAGAAUCUCUGUAUUGAUUCAGAUAAAAACUGAACUUCACAGCAUGUUGAAGCAAAACGACUAGAUGAAAACUGUGAUGGUGUUGGAUUGUCAGACUGUAAUGUUGCAGCUCAAAGCAGCUUUUCUAGCUCAGUUCAUUCUGACAUUCAGCUAUGAAUCAACACAGCAGAUGGUGAUCCAUGCUGUGGAAGUCUCACAUCUCCUGAUUUAAUGGAGCUGCUUUGCACUUUUUACACUGUUUAUUCACCAACACUUUAUUUAAUAAAAGUCCCAUCUAGUUUUUAUGAGGAAUGUGAUGUUUUAAUUUCUCUGUGAAUAACUGCAGUCUAAUGCAACAGCUGGAGUUGUAACAUCUGUCCUGAUAUUGAUCAUGAAGUAUUGAUCAGAAUACUUAUGGUCAGCAGUCAUCCCUGAAGUUUUACAUUAAAAUCUUUACUUGUGUUGUGAACUUUGGUAAGAAGCAGAAAUGUUAGCGUUGCCAUGGAUACAUGAGUGUUAAAUUCUGUCCAUGUUUCCAUUUUGGGAAAUUCAGUCCAGUUCCAGAAUGUGGAGGAAUUUAGUCUCACAAUCACAGACAACAAAUAUUCGGGUUAUUGUUGUUUAUCAGCACAAUACAAAAAGAUUAAUGUUAGAAAUAUUCCAGUUAAGACUCUAGAAUAUCAUGAUUUAUAUAAAUUCACCUCAAUAAUAUGAAUGUUCAGGUUAAGAUUGUACAGUGAUAUUUAUUAUGUAAGUUUAGCUGAUUAAAGUUUAUGACUGCACUAAAAUAUUAUUUAAAUUGACAUCAUUAUUAUAAUAUUUAGGGUCAGACCCUACAGUAUUGAGAUUAAGAAAUCAAAUAUUCUAUAAAAUGUAAAUACACUGAACUCAUUUGGAUCUAUUUAAGUGAGACUCUACAAUAUUAUUUGACACAAAUCUAUCUAAAUCAAAAUUUUAAUAAUUUUCAUGCCAAACAUUUACUGGACUGAUUUAAAUAUUAAAAUCACUCCUUUCUAAUCCUCUGCUGUACGUUCAAACCUGAGGCCUUAAAUAGAAACACACAAGUAUCUGUUUGAAGGAACUUCUGCAGAGUCCUGGUUCCAGAACAUGAUGAUAGAAUUAUAGACAAACUUUAACAAAAGCUGCCUGAGAGUUUACAGGUUUUUAUGUUGGAUUUCUUCAAUAAUUUAAUGAGUUAUCAGCAAUAAUCAAGUGUUCAUUUGAUGAACUUCAUUUCCUAAAACAUCCAGAAUUGGAGCUCAUAUCUUUGGCAGCUGUAAAGUUUCUGCUCCUUCAAAGUUCACAACACAAUGAAUUAAUUCCUAAAACGCUCUCAAUGCUGGAGAGCGUUUGUGAUGCUGAAGCAGUGAUCAGUUUUUCUGUUUCUUCUCUGGAGAUGCACAAUGAGGGACGUCUGCAGAGACUGAGAAAGAGUCUCACCACAUCCUGACAUGAGGAAAAAGACUUUAUUGAAGACUACAAUGAGAAAAACUAUCAGACAGCAGACGGCUGCAUUCAAGAGAGGAAGACCAUCAAACAUCCACGUCAGCUGAUGGAGGUCCAAGAGUCUCACCGAACAACCAACCUACAGAGUGAAGACCUCAAAUCUGAUUGGACGGCCUCCUAUUCAGCCACAUGUGUCAACAAAUGCCUCU
Long non-coding RNA from Amphiprion ocellaris (clown anemonefish), 2471 nucleotides. RefSeq lists it as uncharacterized. The record is from RefSeq and is a predicted model, not a curated record. The transcript has 3 exons. NCBI's taxonomy places the organism in Eukaryota, Metazoa, Chordata, Actinopteri, Pomacentridae.